Molecule: long non-coding RNA, 220 nt
Filed under: Sorghum bicolor (sorghum)
Lineage: Eukaryota; Viridiplantae; Streptophyta; Magnoliopsida; Poales; Poaceae
Description: long non-coding RNA (SBIC_LNC006289)
Source: RNAcentral
ACUAGCUUCUACUGUUUAUCUCCCUGCAUACGCAUAACAGAAACUCAUCCGUGCAGACACAAGGCCGUCAACAGCCAUCUCCUCACUCCAGAAGGCCACUCCUCACUUGCUGCCCACUCCCCCAAAAGCUCAAGUGGAUGGAGGCACACAUCCCUCGCCGACUCACUGCCACUGGACACAGACUCGCCCACAGGAACCAAAAUCCCCUCACCUCAAACCC